Molecule: unclassified non-coding RNA, 583 nt
Filed under: Hevea brasiliensis (rubber tree)
Lineage: Eukaryota; Viridiplantae; Streptophyta; Magnoliopsida; Malpighiales; Euphorbiaceae
Source: RNAcentral
UAAUUAUUUGUGUUUAUGGCUUAUGUAGUUGUCUUACGUGUGGUUCUAAUCCCUUUAAUUGUCCGGACCGACUUCGGUCACCGGAAUAAUGAAAUAUAACAGACUAUACAAAUAGGGGUGUUACAAGGGCCUCUUCUAAAAACAGAUUGGCCUUCAAUACCUGAUUCUUUAAUCAUGUAUGAAAGACCCUUUGCACAAAAAAGAAAAAGAUUGGGUGAAAGAGAACCCCCUUGUCUGAGAUACCUCUGGUAAAAUGUAUGAACUCUAUUUGAAAGCCGUUGAUUUGAAGAGUAUAUGUAACAGAUUUCACACAUUCCUUGAUCCAAGCUAUCCAUUUAUAGUGAUAACCCAAUUUAGAAAGCAAAUGCUGAAGAUAAGAUCAUUCAAUACAUUCAUAUGCCUUGCUGAUGUCAAGUUUAACUGCCAUGCCAAAAUUGGAACUUCUUCGUCUUCUUGAGAAAUCAUGCAUUAUCUCAUGGCAUAUAAGUAUAUUAUCUGAAAUGAAAACGCCUCUAGUGAAAGCACUUUGUUCUUCUCCAAUAAUGUUGUCCAUAAAAGGUUGGAUCCUAUGAACAAGAAUUUU